GGCCAGAUAACGGCAAGCGACAAGCUCGGUUCGUUUGGUUUGCAGUUAGAAGCAGCAAAGAAACCGAGAAACGUUAAGAAAUGUUUCAAUGCUGCAGCAACGACAACAGCAAACAGGAAUCACCUGCCCACCGUUGGGUGUGUGUGUGUAGGUCGCGCGCGUUCGCACAUUGAAGUUGAUCGGUUGAAGGUUUCACACGGGGCAUGCUUUGAUGCUCGCAACGUUUCGUCGACCGCCAAUGGCCUUGGAGCGUUCAACAGCUGUGCAUAAAUUAAUUAGUAAGAGCUAUUACGCUGGACGAAAGACGAUUGAUUGUUCCCGCAAGACACGCGGUAACGACGAACACACAUUGAACAGACAGCCACGAGUGUAUGUGUGCCGCCUGUUGCAUGUCCUUUUUCCGGGAGGUACAUAUGUAUUAGUGCGCUCCGUUCCGCACGUCCGGAAGAAAGGUGUGUGGAAGGAUCUUGAAGAAAUCGUACCAAAACGAAUCCGUUUCUUGAGUUUCAAUAGAAAUAGAGCCAAAACGGGGAAACAGGAAGUAGCAAAAGAAUGCACAUGGUAUGGCAUUGUUGUUUUAUUACAUUCCUAAAACGACUUCUUUUCUAUUUUAGCAAACCUUUCUUAAAGAAAGACAGAUAGAAAAGUCCCAUCGUCUGCUGCUGUAGUUGCCAUGGGAGACGGUUUGUGUUCGACGAGUAGCAGCAGCAGCUCUGUUUUCUCGUGCUCGAGCACCUUUCCCCCAGCAUUGCAAUGAUCAUCGUGAACCAGUAUUUCAAGGGCAGAGCGGGCUUUUUCGGAAAACCAGAUCCCCAGUGUUAAUUUGGGGCCGUUCCAUUAGCACCGUGCCCGUGCGAUAGACGUGCAUCUGUUUAUUGGCUAAUCGGCAUCGCCGCACCGUGCGCGCCGGACCCUGCCGUUAUUGCACGGUUCGGCCACUGGCCACUAUUGAUACCUUAAAACGAGACAAACAAGAUCAGCCCGCGAUCUCCAGGAUGAGGAUUCGUGCCAAAAGCGGCAUUGCGCAUUCGCACCACAGUUUGCGGUUUGGUUUUUUUUGUCGUAAAUUUAUUCAUUUAUUCAUGUGCUGAGAUCGAAAGUAGUCAAACAAGGUACAGUGUUUGAUGAUUUUAUUGCAAAAGAACGCUUCUACUUUGUUGACAGUGGAAGGUAUUUCUUUUCCUUUUUGUUAUAAAGUCACACUGUAACGGCUAAAACUAUCAACACGUGUUGCCACUUAAAGCCAUUCCCCGUUUGCUAACGAACUGUGCACAUAAAGCUCAUAAACGUGCCUGCGGCAAAAUGGGAAUUAGCGUUAUUGUAGUCACAAGCGUCCAGAACAGAUCUGAAUUCGAAAAAACAAUCAUCAAACAGUCUCAAACAAACAACCGUUUUUUGUUUUUGUUUUGGUAAAACAAUUCCAUACGGGUGCGCUAGUAGUGAUUGCUUAUCGCACAUUGUAAUUGAUUAAAUUGAUUACAAGUUGUGGGUUGGUUGAUUUUUUUGUACUGCAUUCCAACGCAAGGAGCGAUUGUUUCACGUGCAACAAUCAACUAUAACGAGAGUUCCAGUGUAAUGUUUGCCCCAAACGGUCCCUUUUUACUUUUCGCUUUGGGAUGCGCAGAGAGAAGAGCCACACGCAAAUGCAAACAUCACCGUCCAAAAAAAAAAACGCGUCAAAUGUGCUUGUUAGAAAGGCCAAGAUCACCAGGGGCAGCUGGUUUCGUCUGGCAGAAGACUCCGCCGCUCCACCUAUCAACCUAUCCGGAGUCUUUUUUCCCGGAAAAAGAGCUACACUAACCGAGAGAGCGCACCAAGCUCGUCUGCUUUUGACGUUAUGCUGAGUGGUGGAGCAUGAAUUUGGAAAGCUUCUACGCAUUUCGUGGCUGGCAGAGGGGGGCACCAAAACGGCGCAACGAUUGUGUACCUUUUUGAGGGAUAAUAUUUGUGGAUUAUUACUGCUGCCAGAGCGCUACCUACGUGGGUUUUCUUUUUUCUCCUUUUCUUUGGUUCGUGUGGGAUUGCACGGCUCUGUUGCUUCUCGAGCGACUUAACAAUGGUCGUUAAUUUUUCACCUGGUCGCCCAUUGCCCUUCUAAAGCACCAUCCGCCCGCACCGCCAUGUUUGGGUAGUAGGUGCACAGGUGCGUUUGAAGAACUUCGGGAAAACACACACACACAGAGAGUGAGGCAGAUAAGAAGCUGGCUGGCACGAAAGAAGGCAUUGAACUUUAUGCAUUUUUCGAUCCCAUUCUACUGCUUGCCUUUGGAUAGCGCAUAUUACCAUUAGUAUCUUCUUGGUUGAGCGGAGCACGAAGGAGGGGGCGGAAAGGUGCACGAUGAGAUGCAACGGCCGGUCUGGAAUCGUGACUGGUGAUGGAUGGAUUUGCUCGUCGCGACCUAAAUCACGCAAAAGAGAGAGAGAGGGAGCCAGAAAAAAAGAGGAGGGAAGCGCCGGCACGCAACCCUGACGAACAAAGGGCCCGCCCGGGACAACCCUUGGCUAUCGCUCUGCUAACUGUUUGUGACGCACUGGAUGUGUGUCUGUGUGUGUGUUCGUGUGAAAUGGCCGACUUAUUUUUGCAGGUGAUCAAUAAACAACCACCCUUUUGCACAUGA
Molecule: long non-coding RNA, 2618 nt
Organism: Anopheles arabiensis
Lineage: Eukaryota; Metazoa; Arthropoda; Insecta; Diptera; Culicidae
Exons: 2
Source: RefSeq, a predicted model, not a curated record